ACGAACGCUGGCGGCGUGCUUAACCCAUGCCAGUCGCACGGAAAGGCCCUGCUUUUGUGGGGUGCUCGAGUGGCGAACGGGUGAGUAACACGUGAGUAACCUGCCCUUGACUUUGGGAUAACUUCAGGAAACUGGGGCUAAUACCGGAUAGGAGCUCCUGCUGCAUGGUGGGGGUUGGAAAGUUUCGGCGGUUGGGGAUGGACUCGCGGCUUAUCAGCUUGUUGGUGGGGUAGUGGCUUACCAAGGCUUUGACGGGUAGCCGGCCUGAGAGGGUGACCGGCGACAUUGGGACUGAGAUACGGCCCAGACUCCUACGGGUGGCAGCCGUGGGGAAUAUUGCACAAUGGGCGGAAGCCUGAUGCAGCAACGCCGCGUGCGGGAUGACGGCCUUCGGGUUGUAAACCGCUUUCGCCUGUGACGAAGCGUGAGUGACGGUAAUGGGUAAAGAAGCACCGGCUAACUACGUG
RNAcentral lists this ribosomal RNA (467 nucleotides) under uncultured bacterium. Its description in RNAcentral is "partial 16S ribosomal RNA". It matches the Rfam family "Bacterial small subunit ribosomal RNA", at positions 29 to 507 of the family's 1533-position model. The record is from RNAcentral.